GUACCUAUAAAAGAAAAUGGAAUAAAAUAUUAAACUCGUGUCUAGAGUUGUUAAUUGGAAAUUAUUUGAUAAUGAAAAUGCUCAUACUGCUAAUAUCAUACAAUAUACUACAUAUGUGGAUAAAUUUGUGCUUUUGAAAAUGUAUCAUCGAAAUGUACGCGUGGCCUUAGCUACAUACAUUGGCCACACAAAGCGACAGCAAAUGCCGUCCGGUGUAGGAGUUUGUGAGCCAUCAAAAUAUUGCGCAACUGUGUUGCCAAAACGGUACACUCGUACAUAAUGUCUUUUGCUUUGCGCUCAUUGUAGGAGUGUGGGAUUUUGGCAUUUUGUCGACUUAUGUCGGUUGUCGGUUUAACGCACGUCAGUUGGAGGUCGCCACCAAUUGGCGAAGAAAGUUGCAUAAGUCAUGGACAAACUAAAAAUUAUGGUUUCGAACCAAGGCUUAACUUUGUCAGGUUAUUGAAUUCCCUCACUAUUAUUGUAGCGAACAUAUCAUAACUGAUAAUAUCAUGAUCAACAUUAUGAAAUAUUAAUAUUUCCAAGCCACCGCCACCUACAAGCCCUCAGCUGAAAGCUACAGUUAUUCAAAUAUUGUAUUGUUUUGACGUCAAAACCUGUCUUUAUUUGCAUUAAUUUUUAUUUCAUUAUUUUUUUUUUUUUGCAUCUAUGCCUUCAACUUUAAUAUCGUUCCAUUUGAGAACGUCAGCAGCAGAACGUGUUGUUUGGUGGGAAAAAAGUAGAUUAAUUAAUUUGAAUGUUUUAAGCGAGAUCUACAUAUAAACCCAAAAAAAAAAAUGAAAUAACAAAAUAAAUGUUUUCAAGUUCUCACGACAACCGGGUGCGGUGGCUGGAAUCAACCGAAUUGAUUUCGUUCAAACAAAUUAGUUUUAGGAUAUUUAAAAAAAUUAAAUAACAAAACCGGUGAAUGCAAUAAAUAUUGUUGUGGAUUUUGUACAAAACUUCUACUGAUUACAUUGCAUAAAUGCUCAAAACAACUUGCCAUAAUAGACGAUGCAACAACAUUCCUAAAACAGCUGCUUCUGCUGAAACAGCACCGAACGACGACAAAAUGAAAUCUCAGAAAGACACUGGAUACAGAUGCAUUCACAAUAUCACAACGACUACUUGCUUUCAACUUUCUCAUAUUUUGCACACAUACGCUUCGCUUAAUUACUAACGCUACAUGAGGAAAAUGGAAAUGAAAUCAAAUACAACAAAUUAGAUCGCAAUCAACACACAUUUUAUACAAUACCUAGUAACGUACCCAACUUCAAGGCGGAUAAAAGCAUCAUAUUUGCACCAGUUGAUUCGUACAGAUGAUAGAUGCACUUGCAGCCGGACGCAAGGUGUUGAACAACAACAACAAAUACAAAUACAAGCACAAACACAAUAGUUUUCACUUUCAAUUUAUGUUUUUUAUUUCGUUUUUGUUUUUUUUUUUUGCUGACCGUCUACAGCAAUUGAAUGAUGAAUUUGCAGGGAAACGCUUGCCGUUUGUUGCAGGCGCACACUUGGCAAUAGCGCUUUGUUUGCCUUUUGCUUUGCUUUCCUCAAUUCACUGUCUGGAGCGGGUAUGAUCUGCGACUGCUAACGGCAAGUGAAAAGUGAUCGUGAGGGUGCGAAUGUAUUGGUGAAUGCAUAUAAAUUUCGCGCGCGUUAACUACAUACACCUAUAUGCAGAGGGUGUUUGUUUAGAGUUAUAGAAGUUUUAUUGUAGAGAAAUAAAGGGAAAAUUAUUUGUUAGUCUACUUUUAGGACAUUUAGCGUUGGAAUAGUAUCUACCCAAUAUUGGGACGAAUGUUGCAAUUGCUCAAAUUUAACAAAUUUAAUUUUAACUAGGUUCAAGAAGCACCAAUGGAUGCUGAAUUUCUCAUAAAGACACCCUUUUGUUCAGUAUCACAGUUUUGUGGUUCUAUUGAAACAUAAAGUUAGCACCCAACUAAAUUGUGCGUUGGGUUUAAAAGGCACACAAGCAUAUGUUUCUAAGCAGCAAAUGGUUACACUUGCGCGAUCACCUUCAAACACAGUUCACCAAUGAGCCAAACACCAUAAAAGCCGUAACGCACACGAACGCUAUAUGCAUUCGUCCGUAAUUAUUUUAAGACAUUAAGUUGGAUGGGUUAUAAAAAGAAGAAAAAAAUAAAUGAAGUAAUAACACUUGAAGAACACCACAUCAGCAAGGCACUCCGCGGUAAUUAUAUUGACUGAGCGCCAUCUUCAAAACGUAUACAUAUGUAUCUGCAUAUGUAUGUACAUAACCUAGCAUAUAUUUGUGUAUAUUUUUGAAGAAACUAGAAGCAACACAGCGUAAAACAACAAAGGAAUUAAUUUGUAUUUCAACAUUCGAGUGGAAAAGAGAAAAAGUCAUUUGGAAGUACAAGAAAUUAAAGUUAAAAAAUACAUAGAAUCCGCUCACGGUACAGGGUGCUGUUUUCCUCGGUUAAUUUUCGAUUGAACCUGCAAUUUUUUUAGUUUUCCACUUGGUUUUUGUUUGGAUCCAACUUGGCUAAUUCAGCCUUUUUAAAGAAACGGUUAACUUUCAGGUAAAACUUUGGAUUUUCGCCAUUGGGUUAAAUUGGUAGUAAGUAUAUUUUAGUAAUUAUUUUUUCAACCUUUGCACAUACAUAGGCGCAUUUGAAAAAUAAAUACCGUUUUCAUCGACUUAGCAAAAUGGCUAACCGUCGAAGGCUUUUCACUUCACUUUUGCAAACACAUUCAGUCUAUUGCUUCAGUCUACGUAAACUACGUAUAUUACGUAUAUACACACUAUGCGUAGUGCAAUUUUCCACUCUGCAAGCAAAAUUGUUGCUUUGUUGUAAGAAAAAUGGCUGCUUUUUGAAAGUACGAAUGCGUUCACAAGCCUUUCGCACAAUCGCUCUCAUUUAAUCAAAUAUUAUAUAUGCGUUAAUUAAAUCCUUUGAUUUUUCUAUUAUUAAUAAUCGGGUUUGAACGUCGCCAAUGCUUUAGCUUUAGAUUCUUUUAAGCCAUGAAAAAUACUAUAUAUAUAUGCAAAGGUGUAUAUAUGUCUCCGAUGGCAUUGCACAACGAUUUGCACGACGAUCUUCUAUUAAUAAAAGUUAAAACUCAACUGGGCAAGAAGAAGAAACAUAAAUAGUAACCAACCUGCCAACCUGUUACUGCUGUUAGUGCUGCCUGUCUAUGCAUCUAUUGCGGUCGUUGUGGUUGCUGUUGUUGCAUUCAUUGUUCAACUGUUCACAGGCCACUUCAGCAGAGAGCUGUGAGCUGUGAGCGAAGUCAGGCACAGAUUUAGUUGCGCUUAAAUUGAGUUACUAUCAGGAGACAAUAGUCAACGGCAACGCCAGUUGGUGCGACAGUAGCUGGCCGAAACGGUAAAAAAGUGGAAAAACCACUUUGUACAUUCAAACAAACUUAAGUGGAAGUAUCUCAACUUUCAUACACAAUGCGUACUGCAAACACACACACACACAUCUAUAUAUAUACAUAUACAUAUUGUUGUUAUGUUCGUGUGUGUGUGUGUGUGUGUGGUGGUAGUAUAAAAAAUAAACUUCAACAAUUUGUACAAAAUACUCAGCGCACGGCUGUAUAUAUCUGGUAAUACGACAACAGCAAUAGCAACAAGCAGUAACAGCAACAACAAUAACAACAAUAACAACGGCAAUGACAAACAAGCAAAACUCGCUUCUGGUUUCGCAGCUCAAUAGUACACACACACACAUAUAUAUAUAUAUUUAUAUAUUUCUAUAGAGUUAACACACGCAUACGCACAUACCAAAUAAAAAUAAGUUAAAGACGUCAGCAACAGCUGCGACCAAACAACAAUAUUUGCCUAACUUUGGGAACAUGCUGUUACCGCAAUAAUAAAUAAUCUGAAAAUCAACAGAAAUGCUGAAGGCAAGCAGCAGGACCAACAUUGCUCCAGUACCGACAACUGUCAGGCUUGGAGACAGCCUUUGCACAUUUCCUGCUGGGAACAUAUUGUGUGACUUAUACUGUUAGUAUACUUAUACUGAUUACUUGAAAAAACCUAACUUCUUAUCUGUAAUAUUUAAGUAUGUACAUACCUUUUGAGCUUGGCAGACAUUGUCCGACAUUAUUCCAAAAAUUUAAACGACAGCCAAACACUUUCAUUUCUUUUACACGUUCUUUCAUAUUGCCCAGCACACUGGUUUCCGUGAAGCUGACACACGGAAUCAUUUGCGCACCACAAGAUGUUGAUUAAUUGUUUAGCCGACUCUGCAUAAAUUCGGCUUUCAUUACCACGGUACUACCGAGUAAGCUUUGCUUAAUGUUUAUAUUUUCUUUUCUUUAGUAACUAAUCGCGUUCGCUAGAAUCGAUUUUU
Long non-coding RNA from Zeugodacus cucurbitae (melon fly), 4322 nucleotides. RefSeq lists it as uncharacterized. The record is from RefSeq and is a predicted model, not a curated record. Lineage: Eukaryota; Metazoa; Arthropoda; Insecta; Diptera; Tephritidae. The transcript has 2 exons.